CCUACGGGUGGCAGCAGUGAGGAAUAUUGGUCAAUGGCCGUAAGCCUGAACCAGCCAAGUCGCGUGAAGGAAGAAGGAUCUAUGGUUUGUAAACUUCUUUUGUAGGGGAAUAAAGGUAUCCACGUGUGGAUGUUUGGAUGUACCCUAUAAAUAAGCAUCGGCUAACUCCGUGCCAGCAGCCGCGGUGAUAAGGAGGAUGCGAGUGUUAUUCGGAUUUAUUGGGUUUAAAGGGUGCGUAGGUUGUUUUUUAAGUCAGCGGUGAAAGUUUGUGGCUCAAACACAAAAUUGCCGUUGAAACUGGAAGACUUGAGUGUGUUUGAGGUAGGCGGAAUGCGUGGUGUAGCGGUGAAAUGCAUAGAUAUCACGCAGAACUCCGAUUGCGAAGGCAGCUUACUGGGCCAUAACUGACGCUGAAGCACGAAAGCGUGGGGAUCAAACAGGAUUAGAUACCCGAGUAGUC
RNAcentral lists this ribosomal RNA (460 nucleotides) under uncultured bacterium. RNAcentral describes it as "partial 16S ribosomal RNA". It matches the Rfam family "Bacterial small subunit ribosomal RNA", at positions 338 to 795 of the family's 1533-position model. The record is from RNAcentral.